GGUAUUUUACUGUCAAACUGAAAGUAAAAGUAAAGUUAAAGACGCAAUUUUAGAGGACGCGCAGUUCGAUACUCCUGUUCCAAUUGUUUGCAGAGAUUGAGAGGUUGAAAACAUGAACACUCAAUAUCCCUACAACAGAUGAUUUAUGUGAUCAGGUUUUCUGAGUGAGAUCUGUCUGAGCAGUCCAGAUUCUGAAGAGACAUUAGACUGUAUGGAGCCUGAGGGAGACCCUGAAGUCAUGAGCAGGAGGUGAGUCAGAGAGAGAGGCUGUCUGAGGGAUAAACACUAACCAAGGUUCAGUUUCACUCUGAUAAAUACUCUACAGGACAAACUACAUACAAAUCAUAUAUACAAACCACCUUUCUGUCUAAG
This is a long non-coding RNA of Coregonus clupeaformis (lake whitefish), 372 nucleotides long. RefSeq lists it as uncharacterized. The transcript has 3 exons. The record is from RefSeq and is a predicted model, not a curated record. NCBI's taxonomy places the organism in Eukaryota, Metazoa, Chordata, Actinopteri, Salmoniformes, Salmonidae.